GAGUGAUCGUGGCUCAGAUUGAACGCUGGCGGCAGGCCUAACACAUGCAAGUCGAGCGGAUGACGGGAGCUUGCUCCUUGAUUCAGCGGCGGACGGGUGAGUAAUGCCUGGGAAUCUGCCUGGUAGUGGGGGACAACGUUUCGAAAGGAACGCUAAUACCGCAUACGUCCUACGGGAGAAAGCAGGGGACCUUCGGGCCUUGCGCUAUCAGAUGAGCCUAGGUCGGAUUAGCUAGUUGGUGGGGUAAUGGCUCACCAAGGCGACGAUCCGUAACUGGUCUGAGAGGAUGAUCAGUCACACUGGAACUGAGACACGGUCCAGACUCCUACGGGAGGCAGCAGUGGGGAAUAUUGGACAAUGGGCGAAAGCCUGAUCCAGCCAUGCCGCGUGUGUGAAGAAGGUCUUCGGAUUGUAAAGCACUUUAAGUUGGGAGGAAGGGCAGUAAGUUAGUACCUUGCUGUUUUGACGUUACCGACAGAAUAAGCACCGGCUAACUCUGUG
Molecule: ribosomal RNA, 501 nt
Filed under: bacterium enrichment culture clone ALO1_GLFRUDD03GOOUG
Lineage: Bacteria
Description: bacterial SSU rRNA
Rfam family: Bacterial small subunit ribosomal RNA
Source: RNAcentral